CCUGCGGCUCACGCCGCAGGCUACGUGCUGCCGUCGCUUCGCGACU
Molecule: small RNA, 46 nt
Filed under: Kolteria novifilia
Lineage: Bacteria; Pseudomonadati; Planctomycetota; Planctomycetia; Kolteriales; Kolteriaceae
Description: Planctomycetes bacterium Pan216 Acido-Lenti-1 RNA
Rfam family: Acido-Lenti-1 RNA
Source: Rfam by way of RNAcentral